Molecule: long non-coding RNA, 2699 nt
Organism: Marmota monax (woodchuck)
Lineage: Eukaryota; Metazoa; Chordata; Mammalia; Rodentia; Sciuridae
Exons: 3
Source: RefSeq, a predicted model, not a curated record
GUUUUCGGUGGACACAACAUCUUUGUUUGUAUGUGGUGCUAAGGAUCAAACCCGGGCCGCAUGCAUGCCAGGCAAGCGCGCUACCGCUUGAGCCACAUCCCCAGCCCAAAGCUUUUAAUUUUGGUCACCAUGUGGUAAGCUGUAUUUCUCCACCCUGCUCUUCAGCCACGAUGUGUCACCUAGCUUCAGGCUCAGAGGAAUGGAAUUGGCAGUCUAUGGAUACUUCUCAAACUCCCAUAUACAGGCUAUCUGCAAACUUAGGGAGCUGCAGCUUUAAAAGGCAAACACUUCUUGACAACCCUAAGGUGGAUACCCCAUUCGAAGCCAUCUUCAUCUUUCUCCUGGACAGUAAAGUAGCCUCUUACCUGGUUUCUCUAUAACAUAUUCUCCACACAACAGCCACUGUUACUUCUAGAUGUGUCAAACUUAUUGGUUGUUUUGCAGAAAUUGAUGAUGUGACUCUUAAAUUCAUAUGGAAUUUCAAGGGUCUCUGAGUAGCCAAAACAACCUUGAAAAAGAAAAGUUGGAGGACUCAUACUUUUCAGUUUCUCACACAUUCUACAAAACUCCAAAUCAUCAGGACUGUGUGGUCCUAGCAUAAGGAUAAAACUUUGUGCAGUAUCUUACAUGAGAAAGGAAGAGAAGGUUUCACGAAGGAGCGAUUGUGUCACAAACUGAGAGAGUGAGUAAAAUGAAGACUAAGAACUGCGUUGGAGGUCACUGAAGAACAGUUUCAGCAGUGUUGACAGGAGGGUAGAGUAGAUUUGAGAAAGAGUAGGAAAGGAGGAAGUAGAAACAAAGACUCUUUCAAGGAGUUUUUUCUUUAUCUUCUUUUUAUCUUAGUAUUUUUGGGGGGUGAUACUGGGGAUUGAACUCAGGGGUACUCAACCACUGAGCUACAUCCCCAGUCCUAUUUUUUUUUUAAAUCUAUACAUCAAAUAAAUAGAAUAAGGAGUCCAGGGGCUGGGAUUGUGGCUCAGCGAUGGAGUGCUCGUCUAGCAUGUGCAAGGCCCUGGGUUCGAUCCUCAGCACCACAUAUAAAUAAAGGUAUUGCAUGCGACUACAACUAAAAAGUAAAUAAAUAUUUUAAAAAAGAGUAAGGAGUCCAGAAGUAAACCUACACAUUAAUGGUCAAUUGAUUUUUUUUCCUAUAUUUUUUAUUGGCAUAUUAUAGUUGUACAUAAGGGUGGGAUUUAUUGUUACAUAUUAGUAUGUGUACACAGCCAUCCUGAACUGGAUGAUACUCAAAAAGAAUGUUAUCCAGGCUGAGGAUAUAGCUCAGUUGGUAGAGUGUGUGCCUAUAUGCACAAGGACCAGGGUCCAAUCCCCAGCACUACAGAAAAUAAUAAUAAUAAUAAAAGAAUAUUACUCCAAAUUCCAUAAUCCUUUAUAUGUACAGAAAUAGCCCAGAGUCAAGAAAGAACAGUUGAAAGAAUUUAUCAUUCUUAGACUAUGACUCUCCUUUCCAUUUAUUUCUCAAAACAACAGAGCAAAGCAGAAAUCAAGAAGCAAAAACAUAACUCAGAUGCUGCAGCCAACUGUCUAUUAUUUCACAAUCUGCCCACACCUUAAAUAAACAGGAAAGGUUAUAACUAGCUACAGGCAGACACUACAGAAAACAGACCAUAAGAAACCCUCAAACAUCCAGCCUCCAUCUUUCUUCUACAGGAUACUUACUUCUUUUCAUGACCACAAAUGCCUCUCACAAUAAGUUGAAGUCAGGCGUGAUGCAUGGGAUGACCAAAUACCUUUUUCAGGAUUAGUAAUUUUCUGAUGAACAUGUGGAAAAAAUAUCAGAAAAAUAUCUGUUAUUAGGGGGAACAAAUAUUAAAAUUUCCAUUUGAAUAUUAGAAAUUAUAUUGACAUUUAAGCAACAAGACAUAUUUGGAGUUGAAUGAGAGUAUAUAUUUCUUUGGAUCUUUUAAAAAAAAUCUGUAUGUGAUAAUAAUUAUGGUAAAGUUGGAUCACAGUAGCACCUCUCUCAUCCAAAGCAACAUCAGAAUAACAAGAGAAUCCUGAUAAGCAGAAUAUCAGCAGCAGAGAUUAUACUUUUUCUCUUGUGUAUACAUAAGCAAAUGAAUGGAGGCUUUGACUUAGCAUCAACUAACCCUGUGCUUAAAAUGAGAGCUUGGGAAAACUCAAGAAUUUGAUGUCAAUUAAUCUGUUUUGGGGGGCUAUAAAUGUUAAAAAGAUUUUCAUUCUGUUUUGAAACAAAAUAAAAAGACCUCGAACUACAGAGAGUAUGCCCUGACACUGUACAGGGCAAACCUGUGAAUUAAGAUGGGGGAGGAUUGGGAAUGUACGGGUAUACGUGUAGGAUUGCAGUUUUAAAUGUUAUAACGACAACACUGGAACAAAGUUUUUGCAGGAAUGUGAUAGUUUUAUGUGUCAACUUGACUAGACUAUAUUUCUGGAUUAUUGAAUCAAAUACUAAUCUAGGUAUUACUGUGAAGGUUUUUUGGAGAUGUGGUUAACAUGUGACUGUAGGAACCAUGUCCACAUACUUUGACCCUAAGUAAAAGACUACCCUCAAUAAUGUGGACAGGCCUCAUCUACUCAGUUAAAAGGCUUAAAAACCAAAUUAGGGCUUCCUAAAUGAAGAAUAAAUUCUGCCUCAAGAUUCUAACAUCAACUUCUACCUUAAAGUCUCCAGUCUAUCUGCCUAACCUAGAGAUUUUGGAUUUGCCAGUCCCCACAAC